This 1520-nucleotide ribosomal RNA is filed under the name Formosa agariphila KMM 3901. Its description in RNAcentral is "Bacterial small subunit ribosomal RNA". It matches the Rfam family "Bacterial small subunit ribosomal RNA". Lineage: Bacteria; Pseudomonadati; Bacteroidota; Flavobacteriia; Flavobacteriales; Flavobacteriaceae. The record is from Rfam by way of RNAcentral.
ACGAUGAAGAGUUUGAUCCUGGCUCAGGAUGAACGCUAGCGGCAGGCUUAACACAUGCAAGUCGAGGGGUAACAUUGUGCUUGCACAGAUGACGACCGGCGCACGGGUGCGUAACGCGUAUGCAAUCUACCUUUUACAGGGGAAUAGCCCAGAGAAAUUUGGAUUAAUGCCUCAUAGUAUAUAGUUGUGGCAUCACAAUUAUAUUAAAGAUUUAUCGGUAAAAGAUGAGCAUGCGUUCUAUUAGUUAGUUGGUAAGGUAACGGCUUACCAAGACUACGAUAGAUAGGGGCCCUGAGAGGGGGAUCCCCCACACUGGUACUGAGACACGGACCAGACUCCUACGGGAGGCAGCAGUGAGGAAUAUUGGACAAUGGGCGAGAGCCUGAUCCAGCCAUGCCGCGUGCAGGAAGACUGCCCUAUGGGUUGUAAACUGCUUUUAUACAGGAAGAAACACUGCUACGUGUAGCAGCUUGACGGUACUGUAAGAAUAAGGAUCGGCUAACUCCGUGCCAGCAGCCGCGGUAAUACGGAGGAUCCAAGCGUUAUCCGGAAUCAUUGGGUUUAAAGGGUCCGUAGGUGGACAAUUAAGUCAGAGGUGAAAUCUUGCAGCUCAACUGUAAAAUUGCCUUUGAUACUGGUUGUCUUGAGUUAUUAUGAAGUAGUUAGAAUAUGUAGUGUAGCGGUGAAAUGCAUAGAUAUUACAUAGAAUACCAAUUGCGAAGGCAGAUUACUAAUAAUCAACUGACACUGAUGGACGAAAGCGUGGGUAGCGAACAGGAUUAGAUACCCUGGUAGUCCACGCCGUAAACGAUGGUUACUAGCUGUUCGGACUUCGGUCUGAGUGGCUAAGCGAAAGUGAUAAGUAACCCACCUGGGGAGUACGUUCGCAAGAAUGAAACUCAAAGGAAUUGACGGGGGCCCGCACAAGCGGUGGAGCAUGUGGUUUAAUUCGAUGAUACGCGAGGAACCUUACCAGGGCUUAAAUGUAGAUUGACAGGACUAGAGAUAGUUUUUUCUUCGGACAAUUUACAAGGUGCUGCAUGGUUGUCGUCAGCUCGUGCCGUGAGGUGUCAGGUUAAGUCCUAUAACGAGCGCAACCCCUGUUGUUAGUUGCCAGCGAGUCAAGUCGGGAACUCUAACAAGACUGCCAGUGCAAACUGUGAGGAAGGUGGGGAUGACGUCAAAUCAUCACGGCCCUUACGUCCUGGGCUACACACGUGCUACAAUGGUAGGGACAGAGAGCAGCCACUGGGUGACCAGGAGCGAAUCUAUAAACCCUAUCACAGUUCGGAUCGGAGUCUGCAACUCGACUCCGUGAAGCUGGAAUCGCUAGUAAUCGCAUAUCAGCCAUGAUGCGGUGAAUACGUUCCCGGGCCUUGUACACACCGCCCGUCAAGCCAUGGAAGUUGGAAGUGCCUGAAGUCCGUCACCGCAAGGAGCGGCCUAGGGUAAAGUCGAUAACUAGGGCUAAGUCGUAACAAGGUAGCCGUACCGGAAGGUGCGGCUGGAACACCUCCUUU